This 253-nucleotide ribosomal RNA is filed under the name uncultured bacterium. Its description in RNAcentral is "partial 16S ribosomal RNA". It matches the Rfam family "Bacterial small subunit ribosomal RNA", at positions 524 to 776 of the family's 1533-position model. The record is from RNAcentral.
UACGUAGGGUGCAAGCGUUAAUCGGAAUUACUGGGCGUAAAGCGUGCGCAGGCGGUGAUGUAAGACAGGUGUGAAAUCCCCGGGCUUAACCUGGGAACUGCAUUUGUGACUGCAUCGCUGGAGUGCGGCAGAGGGGGAUGGAAUUCCGCGUGUAGCAGUGAAAUGCGUAGAUAUGUGGAGGAACACCGAUGGCGAAGGCAAUCCCCUGGGCCUGCACUGACGCUCAUGCACGAAAGCGUGGGGAGCAAACAGG